RNAcentral lists this ribosomal RNA (462 nucleotides) under uncultured bacterium. Its description in RNAcentral is "partial 16S ribosomal RNA". It matches the Rfam family "Bacterial small subunit ribosomal RNA", at positions 28 to 507 of the family's 1533-position model. The record is from RNAcentral.
GAUAAACGCUGGCGGCGUGCUUAACACAUGCAAGUCGAACGAAGUUUUUCCUUCUGGAGAAACUUAGUGGCGGACGGGUGCGUAACUCGUGGGUAACCUGCCCUGUACAGGGGGACAACAGCUGGAAACGGCUGCUAAUACCGCAUAAGCCCUUAGCACUGCAUGGUGCAUAGGGAAAAGGAGCAAUCCGGUACAGGAUGGACCCGCGUCUGAUUAGCCAGUUGGCAGGGUAACGGCCUACCAAAGGGAGGAUCAGUAGCCGAUCUGAGAGGAUGUACGGCCACAUUGGGACUGAGACACGGCCCAGACUCCUACGGGAGGCAGCAGUGGGGAAUAUUGCACAAUGGAGGAAACUCUGAUGCAGCGACGCCGCGUGAGUGAAGAAGUAUUUCGGUAUGUAAAGCUCUAUCAGCAGGGAAGAAAAUGACGGUACCUGACUAAGAAGCACCGGCUAAAUACGUG